CACGUAGGGUGCGAGCGUUGUCCGGAAUUAUUGGGCGUAAGGAGCUCGUAGGCGGUGCGUCGCGUCGGCCGUGAAAACCUGCAGCUUAACUGUGGGCUUGCGGUCGAUACGGGCAUCACUGGAGUUCGGCAGGGGAGACUGGAAUUCCUGGUGUAGCGGUGAAAUGCGCAGAUAUCAGGAGGAACACCGGUGGCGAAGGCGGGUCUCUGGGCCGAUACUGACGCUGAGGAGCGAAAGCGUGGGGAGCGAACAGG
This 254-nucleotide ribosomal RNA is filed under the name uncultured bacterium. RNAcentral's name for it is "partial 16S ribosomal RNA". It matches the Rfam family "Bacterial small subunit ribosomal RNA", at positions 524 to 776 of the family's 1533-position model. The record is from RNAcentral.